RNAcentral lists this ribosomal RNA (543 nucleotides) under uncultured bacterium. RNAcentral describes it as "partial 16S ribosomal RNA". It matches the Rfam family "Bacterial small subunit ribosomal RNA", at positions 355 to 914 of the family's 1533-position model. The record is from RNAcentral.
UGGGGAACAUUGCACAAUGGGCGAAAGCCUGAUGCAGCAACGCCGCGUGAGUGAUGAAGGCCUUCGGGUUGUAAAGCUCUGUCUUUUGGGACGAUAAUGACGGUACCAAAGGAGGAAGCCACGGCUAACUACGUGCCAGCAGCCGCGGUAAUACGUAGGUGGCAAGCGUUGUCCGGAUUUACUGGGCGUAAAGGAUGCGUAGGCGGAUUUUUAAGUGAGAUGUGAAAACCCUAAGCUUAACUUGGGGACUGCAUUUCAUACUGGAAAUCUAGAGUGCGGGAGAGGAGAAUGGAAUUCCUAGUGUAGCGGUGAAAUGCGUAGAGAUUAGGAAGAACACCAGUGGCGAAGGCGAUUCUCUGGACCGUAACUGACGCUGAGGCAUGAAAGCGUGGGUAGCAAACAGGAUUAGAUACCCUGGUAGUCCACGCCGUAAACGAUGAGUACUAGGUGUAGGAGGUAUCGACCCCUUCUGUGCCGCAGUUAACACAAUAAGUACUCCGCCUGGGAAGUACGAUCGCAAGAUUAAAACUCAAAGGAAUUGAC